CCUGCCCAUCAGAAGGGGAUAACACUUGGAAACAGGUGCUAAUACCGUAUAACAAUCGAAACCGCAUGGUUUUGAUUUGAAAGGCGCUUUCGGGUGUCGCUGAUGGAUGGACCCGCGGUGCAUUAGCUAGUUGGUGAGGUAACGGCUCACCAAGGCCACGAUGCAUAGCCGACCUGAGAGGGUGAUCGGCCACAUUGGGACUGAGACACGGCCCAAACUCCUACGGGAGGCAGCAGUAGGGAAUCUUCGGCAAUGGACGAAAGUCUGACCGAGCAACGCCGCGUGAGUGAAGAAGGUUUUCGGAUCGUAAAACUCUGUUGUUAGAGAAGAACAAGGAUGAGAGUAACUGUUCAUCCCUUGACGGUAUCUAACCAGAAAGCCACGGCUAACUACGUGCCAGCAGCCGCGGUAAUACGUAGGUGGCAAGCGUUGUCCGGAUUUAUUGGGCGUAAAGCGAGCGCAGGCGGUUUCUUAAGUCUGAUGUGAAAGCCCCCGGCUCAACCGGGGAGGGUCAUUGGAAACUGGGAGACUUGAGUGCAGAAGAGGAGAGUGGAAUUCCAUGUGUAGCGGUGAAAUGCGUAGAUAUAU
RNAcentral lists this ribosomal RNA (588 nucleotides) under Enterococcus faecium. Its description in RNAcentral is "bacterial SSU rRNA". It matches the Rfam family "Bacterial small subunit ribosomal RNA", at positions 125 to 699 of the family's 1533-position model. The record is from RNAcentral. Lineage: Bacteria; Bacillati; Bacillota; Bacilli; Lactobacillales; Enterococcaceae.